GUGAGGAAUAUUGCGCAAUGGAGGCAACUCUGACGCAGCCAUGCCGCGUGCAGGAAGAAGGCGCUACGCGUUGUAAACUGCUUUUAACCGGGAAGAAACCCCAGGACGUGUCCUGGGUUGACGGUACCGGAGGAAUAAGCACCGGCUAACUUCGUGCCAGCAGCCGCGGUAAUACGAAGGGUGCAAGCGUUAUCCGGAUUCAUUGGGUUUAAAGGGUGCGUAGGCGGAGCGUUAAGUCAGUGGUGAAAUCCUGCAGCUUAACUGUAGACUUGCCAUUGAUACUGGCGCUCUUGAGUGCGCUUGAAGUGGGCGGAAUGUGCCGUGUAGCGGUGAAAUGCUUAGAUAUGGCACAGAACACCAAUUGCGAAGGCAGCUCACUAAGGCGAUACUGACGCUGAGGCACGAAAGCGUGGGGAUCGAACAGGAUUAGAAACCCGUGUAAUCC
This 445-nucleotide ribosomal RNA is filed under the name uncultured bacterium. RNAcentral describes it as "partial 16S ribosomal RNA". It matches the Rfam family "Bacterial small subunit ribosomal RNA", at positions 354 to 796 of the family's 1533-position model. The record is from RNAcentral.